GAGAGCCGUAUACAUCGAGAGGUGUAAGUACGGUUCGGGGGCGAGCUAUGGAAAACCCGCCGCCGCGAGGCGGUAAGGCGUCUAUAGUUUAGCCCAC
This is a non-coding RNA of Flavonifractor plautii ATCC 29863, 97 nucleotides long. Lineage: Bacteria; Bacillati; Bacillota; Clostridia; Eubacteriales; Oscillospiraceae. The record is from Rfam.